This 505-nucleotide ribosomal RNA is filed under the name uncultured bacterium. Its description in RNAcentral is "partial 16S ribosomal RNA". It matches the Rfam family "Bacterial small subunit ribosomal RNA", at positions 28 to 507 of the family's 1533-position model. The record is from RNAcentral.
GACGAACGCUGGCGGCGUGCCUAAUACAUGCAAGUAGAACGCACAGUUUAUACCGUAGCUUGCUACACAAUAGACGGUGAGUUGCGAACGGGUGAGUAACGCGUAUGUAACCUGCCUGGUAGCGGGGGAUAACUACUGGAAACGAUAGCUAAUACCGCAUAAUAUUGAUUAUUGCAUGAUAAAUGAUUGAAUGAUGCUAUCGCAUCGCUACCAGAUGGACCUGCGUUGUAUUAGCUAGUAGGAGAGGUAACGGAUCACCUAGGCCAAGGUAGAAAGCCGACCUGGGAGGACGGUGCGCCCACCUGGGAACUGAGCACGGCCCAGACCUCUACGGGGGGCAGCCGGAGGGGAUCUUCGGACAAGGGCCAAAGUCUUGAUGGAGAACGGCGCGGGAGGGAAGAAGGGCUUCGGAUCGUAAAGCUCUGUUGUUAGGGGAGAACGGGUGUGAGAGUGGAAAGAUCUCAGUGUGACGGUAUCUUACCAGAAAGAGACGGCUAACUACGUG